ACUCACGCACUGUACCCAUUCGUCCCCUUUGCACCAAAUCCCGCAGCCACCGCAAGCCUGCAGCUGCCCUCCUUCGGUCCUCCAUCCUCUCGCGCCCCCUCCCGCAUAGCCCCCUCCUUGCUUCCUCCUCAUCAUCGUAGCCGCCGCAUUCCUCCCUCUUCCUCCUCCUCGUCACCACAACCGAUGGUCCCCUCGCUCCUCCCCCAUCCUCCCUUCCACUGUCGCACGAACCUUCCGGGUCGGGGCGAGGCAGAAGGUUAUGGUGAAUCUGGCGCCUGCAGGCCUACGCAACAGGAUUUGGUGGAGCGGCGGAUGCAGAUGGGGUCGUUGACGGAGAUGUAGGAGCAAGGAGCUCGAGUUGGCUCAUGGCUUGCCUUUGCAUCUUCUUUCUCCCCCCUCCCCUUUUUCUCAUGGGUGAGGGCUUCGGCAGCAGCCAGCAGGUGCGCCAUGAGGAGUGGAAGGCCGAGUUUGUGUGACGACCAGAGCAACAGGAGCAAGGAGCCUCCUCCCUCUCCCUCUGAGUGGUUGAGGACUUCCUCAAGAAGAAAGAAGAAGGCCAAAUAGAAGAAGAAUUUGGCUCAAAGGUCUUGCGGAGGUGCCUCUGACCGUCUCUACUUUCCUAUUACUUUCUCCACCAUGCACAUUGGAAUUAGAUAAUAUAUGUUUUUUAAAACAUGGCGUGUACAGAUCUGAGGUUUUUAUUUGCAGGUAGUGAUUCUAUAUAUUAUGAUGUAGUCUGAUAUUUUAAGAUAUUCACAAAAGGAGUGUUUAAUAUGUCCACAUUUAUAUAACUAUGUAGUCAGGCAUAUUUCAUCUCUUUUCUUGAUCGAAUGAAGCACUGAUCUUGAUAACUUUAUCAGCUCCUUACAUUUGUUCAUGUAACUUCGGUUAGGCAAUGGAAAACUUAAUGUGGCUGGAGUUCUACGUGCAUUAAAUCUAAUUAUCCUUAUAUUUCAACUCCAAUGUCUCGGCCUUUAGAGGCUAUUCUGGUCUCACAGGGUGAAGGCAUGUUUGUACGUCAAUGAAAAUAGGGUACUCAUUUGUUUCUUGCUGGUUUAGGAUUUUGACAGUAGAAUGUGGUUUAGGAAAAGAUAUAUUUGUGGUUUAUUUUAUGUGCCUUAUAGAAGAUACAUUAUAUUAGCAUGUUAUUUAUCUUGCUGAUUUGGGGAUUUUGACAGUAGAAUGUGGUUCAGGAAAAGAUAUAUGUGUGGUUUCUUUUAUGUGCCUUAUAGAAGAUACAUUAUAUUAGCAUGUUAUGAUAAGAUAUGUUUAUAUGUAUAAUGUGGAUCCUUGAUAAGUAGACUAGCCUGAUCUCAUGGCAAUCUUUAUAGUAGACCAUGCUCUCUGUUAAUAUGGUCACUUCUAAAUUAAGUAUAUUUAACAGAGCUUUCAGUUUGUGUUUAUACCACAUUCUCUUACAAAUUUACAAUACAGUAUGUCCUAGAAAAGGCACCAGAUCACUUUAUGCCUUGCGUACAUGUUUUGGUAGAAACAAUGCAUCAAAGUCUUCUACAAACUCUUUGGAUUUGACAGCCGUACCGUAUCAGGUCAACAGUCCGGUGAAAAAUCAAUGGGGUAUGGUGGCGGCUAGAGGGCAGAGUCGGCCAUGAGUCACCGGAGUCAAACCAUAGACAAAGCAGAUAGGGUCGGUUACAUAUUGAUAAUAGCAUAUUUUCUGGGCAACACGCUUUUUUUUUCUUCUACUUGUUGUUUAUUAGUAGGCAGCAAAUGCCUUUUAAAAGAAAAAGGUGGUGGACAGGUGGCGUUCAUGGCCACCUUGCAAUCCUACAUUCAGGACUUAGUGUUUAAAUUUGGUUUUGCACUAUCAUUUUCAUUUCUUCUGUAAGUUUUUUACCUUGUGCUUUUUUCAGAUUGCAUAAUGUCCCCUCAGGUUUGAAUUGCUCUGAAGUUAUCAGGGCAUUUCCUUAUAGGGCUUGUUCGCAUUUAUUCAUGGAAGGUGAACUACCUGUUUCAAGAUUGUAACCCACCUAAAAAAUCCCCUCUGCCUUCCUGUUUUUAGUUGUGUAUGUCGCUCUGUAAAGAUUGGUCAGCCUGACUAUGAAAGGGUGCUUCAGAUUAGAAAAGAAUGGUUUUUCUUUGUGUAAUUUUCAGGACAAAUGAGGCUAUGGAGGAACUCAUAAAUGCCGUGCUAAAUUAUUAAUUAGCUGUAUUAUUGAUUUUUCAUUUUUUAAAGAUUAUUGAGCAACAAGUCAUGUAAAGUUACUACUGUAUUAUUAUAUUUCUAACUGCAUGAUCGAAACUGUACAUUCUGAAAGUAUAGGCUGUUAUAUCAUUACUUUGUAAAUAAAUCACAUGUUAACUUGCUGGUUCAGUUUAAAGCUGCGGGCAGAGGCUUGCGGUAGGGGAAAAAUAAUAAUUGUGCUAGUUGAAAACCAAAGCGUUUAUUUGUGACUGUAUAAUCUGGACUACACUUUUAUGAAAGUAUGUUAGGCUCCUGCUCUUGGGAGAUUAAGAGUUGUUGUGGUUUUGCUUUGUUCAGUGUCCCGAAGGGAGCUCACGUGCUACGGUUAGUUCACGUGCUAAAAAACCAAUCUCUGCGAAAAUAGCUUGCUCAUUUUAGUUAUAUUGAUUAAUAGCAUCUCUAUGUUAUUAGAUACUCCCUCCGUUCUUUUUCAACUGCUUAGAUCAUAUUUCAUUCCAAUGCUUGCUUUGGUUUGUCCAAAGUUUAUGUUCAGAGAUUAUGCUUCAAAGAUAUGUUCGGAUAUCCUACAAAAAAAGUAAGAUGAUCGCCCAAUUCUAGCUUCAUCUGCUUUACCUAAUAUAUAAGUUUUUGAUAUUUAUUUAUUUAGAUCACCUGAGUUCUAGGCAGUGAGUACUAGAAAGCAUUAUCACGUUUCAGUGCAUUUUCGUACUUUGUGAAGCAUUUCAGUUUUAUGGAUACAGGCAUUCAGUUGAGAAUUGAGAACAAUUUUGUUUGACUUUUUCAGAUGAUAAUUUUUAUCAGUUAUAGUUACAAUUACUAGAAGUAGCAAAGGUCUGGGUUAAUUUAGAGCUUGAGUUGGCAGCUAUGCUUUUUUGCAUUCCAGAUUAUGCAAAGAGAUUGCCAUAUUUUCUUUUAUUUCGGUUUAGUUCAUUCCCUUAUAUAUCCAGUUGUUUUCCGCAGAACAAAUAUAAAUGUUCAUGUUGUAAUGGAUGGAUAUGUUGAUGGCAUUGUCAUGUCAUGUAAAUUAUAUGCAGAACAAAUCUAUAUUUUUGUUGGUACUAAAAGUGAAAACGAUAUUUGGGACCAAAACUUUUCAAAUAGAUCUGAAUAUGAAUUGGGACCUUGUGUUGUUUGGGGUGGAGCUGCAGGGAGUGAGAGGCGGAUAACAAUAGGGCGUAGAAGCAUGCCAUCGAGGAGUGAAAGCAGCGGCACUCCUUCGCAAUGGGGUGUGGCUGCAGGGGAGGGGAGGCGGCCAACGACGGGGAGAAUGAGCAGGUCGUCAAGGAGUGCAAGCAGCAGGAUUAAUUUAGGCCCAUACAGUUUCUGUUGACUGGAAGUCUGAAACUGAAGAUAGGGCAUAUUGUUUUGGUUCUGAGUGGUUGGGGAUAUUGUGGAUUGAUGUCCCUAGAGCAGUCAGACCCUUCCAAGAUAGGUGCUAAAAUCCUAGGUGUCAAGGGCAUUGUGGUGGCGCGAUCCAUGUCUACUGCGAUCGCUCGGCAUGGCGUCCAUAGCCCCUUUUGCUGCAUUCUUUGUUUUUCGGAAAAUAUGUUCUUGCUUGAGGGUGAAUAUGUUCAUGAUUCAUAAUCAUUGUAUCUGAUUUAUAAGAAACAGUGAGAUGCUUUGUUAUGAGUUACGAUAUAGGCUUUGUAAAAUUUGCAUGCAAUUUGUUGAUGGUUAGGCUUCGAGCUCCAUUUCAAUAACUUUAGAGCUUUUUUUUUAUCCUCUCGAAUUUUCUCAUCUAUUACAGUGAAUUACUGCAGAUCCAUUUUACAUAUACAGUCCAAGGAGGCAAAGUCUUGUGGCUUAAUAUCAUUUAAAACCCGUCUUUCAUUAAUAUGGCCAUUCCUUUGUCUUAAUCUUGCUAUGGUUAACUCCCUGGCUACAACAUUAUUGAGAGUGGAUGCAAGAUUUGUUGUGUUUCCCAAUGCGUCGUUCUGUACAAUUCUUGGCAUCAACGUUGAUGCCUAUAUGAAAGUCUAUACACCUUUGUAAUGUAAUCUUGUGCAUGUCAAUGGCACCCGCAGUGGUUUAAAAGA
Molecule: long non-coding RNA, 4200 nt
Organism: Triticum aestivum (bread wheat)
Lineage: Eukaryota; Viridiplantae; Streptophyta; Magnoliopsida; Poales; Poaceae
Exons: 3
Source: RefSeq, a predicted model, not a curated record